This 2787-nucleotide ribosomal RNA is filed under the name Escherichia coli. RNAcentral's name for it is "bacterial LSU rRNA". It matches the Rfam family "Bacterial large subunit ribosomal RNA". Lineage: Bacteria; Pseudomonadati; Pseudomonadota; Gammaproteobacteria; Enterobacterales; Enterobacteriaceae. The record is from RNAcentral.
AGCGUACACGGUGGAUGCCCUGGCAGUCAGAGGCGAUGAAGGACGUGCUAAUCUGCGAUAAGCGUCGGUGAGGUGAUAUGAACCGUUAUAACCGGCGAUUUCCGAAUGGGGAAACCCAGUGUGUUUCGACACACUAUCAUUAACUGAAUCCAUAGGUUAAUGAGGCGAACCGGGGGAACUGAAACAUCUAAGUACCCCGAGGAAAAGAAAUCAACCGAGAUUCCCCCAGUAGCGGCGAGCGAACGGGGAGGAGCCCAGAGCCUGAAUCAGUGUGUGUGUUAGUGGAAGCGUCUGGAAAGGCGUGCGAUACAGGGUGACAGCCCCGUACACAAAAAUGCACAUAUUGUGAGCUCGAUGAGUAGGGCGGGACACGUGGUAUCCUGUCUGAAUAUGGGGGGACCAUCCUCCAAGGCUAAAUACUCCUGACUGACCGAUAGUGAACCAGUACCGUGAGGGAAAGGCGAAAAGAACCCCGGCGAGGGGAGUGAAAAAGAACCUGAAACCGUGUACGUACAAGCAGUGGGAGCCUCUUAAUGGGGUGACUGCGUACCUUUUGUAUAAUGGGUCAGCGACUUAUAUUCUGUAGCAAGGUUAACCGAAUAGGGGAGCCGAAGGGAAACCGAGUCUUAACUGGGCGUUAAGUUGCAGGGUAUAGACCCGAAACCCGGUGAUCUAGCCAUGGGCAGGUUGAAGGUUGGGUAACACUAACUGGAGGACCGAACCGACUAAUGUUGAAAAAUUAGCGGAUGACUUGUGGCUGGGGGUGAAAGGCCAAUCAAACCGGGAGAUAGCUGGUUCUCCCCGAAAGCUAUUUAGGUAGCGCCUCGUGAAUUCAUCUCCGGGGGUAGAGCACUGUUUCGGCAAGGGGGUCAUCCCGACUUACCAACCCGAUGCAAACUGCGAAUACCGGAGAAUGUUAUCACGGGAGACACACGGCGGGUGCUAACGUCCGUCGUGAAGAGGGAAACAACCCAGACCGCCAGCUAAGGUCCCAAAGUCAUGGUUAAGUGGGAAACGAUGUGGGAAGGCCCAGACAGCCAGGAUGUUGGCUUAGAAGCAGCCAUCAUUUAAAGAAAGCGUAAUAGCUCACUGGUCGAGUCGGCCUGCGCGGAAGAUGUAACGGGGCUAAACCAUGCACCGAAGCUGCGGCAGCGACACUAUGUGUUGUUGGGUAGGGGAGCGUUCUGUAAGCCUGUGAAGGUGGCCUGUGAGGGUUGCUGGAGGUAUCAGAAGUGCGAAUGCUGACAUAAGUAACGAUAAAGCGGGUGAAAAGCCCGCUCGCCGGAAGACCAAGGGUUCCUGUCCAACGUUAAUCGGGGCAGGGUGAGUCGACCCCUAAGGCGAGGCCGAAAGGCGUAGUCGAUGGGAAACAGGUUAAUAUUCCUGUACUUGGUGUUACUGCGAAGGGGGGACGGAGAAGGCUAUGUUGGCCGGGCGACGGUUGUCCCGGUUUAAGCGUGUAGGCUGGUUUUCCAGGCAAAUCCGGAAAACCAGGGCUGAGGCGUGAUGACGAGGCACUACGGUGCUGAAGCGACAAAUGCCCUGCUUCCAGGAAAAGCCUCUAAGCAUCAGGUAACAUCAAAUCGUACCCCAAACCGACACAGGUGGUCAGGUAGAGAAUACCAAGGCGCUUGAGAGAACUCGGGUGAAGGAACUAGGCAAAAUGGUGCCGUAACUUCGGGAGAAGGCACGCUGAUAUGUAGGUGAAGCGACUUGCUCGUGGAGCUGAAAUCAGUCGAAGAUACCAGCUGGCUGCAACUGUUUAUUAAAAACACAGCACUGUGCAAACACGAAAGUGGACGUAUACGGUGUGACGCCUGCCCGGUGCCGGAAGGUUAAUUGAUGGGGUUAGCGGCAACGCGAAGCUCUUGAUCGAAGCCCCGGUAAACGGCGGCCGUAACUAUAACGGUCCUAAGGUAGCGAAAUUCCUUGUCGGGUAAGUUCCGACCUGCACGAAUGGCGUAAUGAUGGCCAGGCUGUCUCCACCCGAGACUCAGUGAAAUUGAACUCGCUGUGAAGAUGCAGUGUACCCGCGGCAAGACGGAAAGACCCCGUGAACCUUUACUAUAGCUUGACACUGAACAUUGAGCCUUGAUGUGUAGGAUAGGUGGGAGGCUUUGAAGUGUGGACGCCAGUCUGCAUGGAGCCGACCUUGAAAUACCACCCUUUAAUGUUUGAUGUUCUAACGUUGGCCCGUAAUCCGGGUUGCGGACAGUGUCUGGUGGGUAGUUUGACUGGGGCGGUCUCCUCCUAAAGAGUAACGGAGGAGCACGAAGGUUGGCUAAUCCUGGUCGGACAUCAGGAGGUUAGUGCAAUGGCAUAAGCCAGCUUGACUGCGAGCGUGACGGCGCGAGCAGGUGCGAAAGCAGGUCAUAGUGAUCCGGUGGUUCUGAAUGGAAGGGCCAUCGCUCAACGGAUAAAAGGUACUCCGGGGAUAACAGGCUGAUACCGCCCAAGAGUUCAUAUCGACGGCGGUGUUUGGCACCUCGAUGUCGGCUCAUCACAUCCUGGGGCUGAAGUAGGUCCCAAGGGUAUGGCUGUUCGCCAUUUAAAGUGGUACGCGAGCUGGGUUUAGAACGUCGUGAGACAGUUCGGUCCCUAUCUGCCGUGGGCGCUGGAGAACUGAGGGGGGCUGCUCCUAGUACGAGAGGACCGGAGUGGACGCAUCACUGGUGUUCGGGUUGUCAUGCCAAUGGCACUGCCCGGUAGCUAAAUGCGGAAGAGAUAAGUGCUGAAAGCAUCUAAGCACGAAACUUGCCCCGAGAUGAGUUCUCCCUGACUCCUUGA